AGAGUUUGAUCAUGGCUCAGGACGAACGCUGGCGGCGCGCCUAACACAUGCAAGUCGAACGGGGUUAUAGGAACAGCUUGCUGGGAAUAUAACUUAGUGGCGGACGGGUGAGUAACACGUGAGCAACCUGCCUUUCAGAGGGGAAUAACGUUUGGAAACGAACGCUAAUACCGCAUAACAUUGGGAUAUGGCAUCAUGACCCAAUCAAAGAUUUAUCGCUGAAAGAUGGGCUCGCGCCCGAUUAGGUAGUUGGUGAGAUAAUAGCCCACCAAGCCGACGAUCGGUAGCCGGACUGAGAGGUUGAACGGCCACAUUGGGACUGAGACACGGCCCAGACUCCUACGGGAGGCAGCAGUGGGGGAUAUUGCACAAUGGGGGGAACCCUGAUGCAGCGACGCCGCGUGAGGGAAGACGGUUUUCGGAUUGUAAACCUCUGUCUUUAGGGACGAAACAAAUGACGGUACCUAAAGAGGAAGCCACGGCUAACUACGUGCCAGCAGCCGCGGU
Molecule: ribosomal RNA, 507 nt
Filed under: uncultured bacterium
Lineage: Bacteria
Description: bacterial SSU rRNA
Rfam family: Bacterial small subunit ribosomal RNA
Source: RNAcentral